UGGGGGAUAUUGCACAAUGGGGGGAACCCUGAUGCAGCGACGCCGCGUGGGUGAUGGAGUACUCCGGUAUGUAAAGCCCUAUCGGCAGGGAAGAAGAUGACGGUACCUGACUAAGAAGCUCCGGCUAAAUACGUGCCAGCAGCCGCGGUAAUACGUAUGGAGCGAGCGUUAUCCGGAUUUACUGGGUGUAAAGGGUGCGUAGGCGGCAGGGCAAGCCAGAUGUGAAAGCCCGGGGCCCAACCCCGGCAGUGCAUUUGGAACUGCCCGGCUGGAGUGCGGGAGGGGUAAGCGGAAUUCCUAGUGUAGCGGUGAAAUGCGUAGAUAUUAGGAGGAACACCAGUGGCGAAGGCGGCUUACUGGACCGUGACUGACGCUGAGGCACGAAAGCGUGGGGAGCAAACAGG
Molecule: ribosomal RNA, 404 nt
Filed under: uncultured bacterium
Lineage: Bacteria
Description: bacterial SSU rRNA
Rfam family: Bacterial small subunit ribosomal RNA
Source: RNAcentral